UGAACGCUAGCUACAGGCUUAACACAUGCAAGUCGAGGGGAAACGGCAUUUAGUGCUUGCACCGAAUGGACGUCGACCGGCGCACGGGUGAGUAACGCGUAUCCAACCUACCCAUUACUGUGGGAUAACCUGCCGAAAGGCAGACUAAUACCGCAUAGUCUUCGAUGACGGCAUCAGAUUUGAAGUAAAGAUUUAUCGGUAAUGGAUGGGGAUGCGUCUGAUUAGCUUGUUGGCGGGGUAACGGCCCACCAAGGCAACGAUCAGUAGGGGUUCUGAGAGGAAGGUCCCCCACAUUGGAAUGAGACACGGUCCAAACUCCUACGGGAGGCAGCAGUGAGGAAUAUUGGUCAAUGGGCGCGAGCCUGAACCAGCCAAGUAGCGUGCAGGAUGACGGCCCCUAUGGGGUUGUAAAACUGCUUUUGUAAUGGGGAUAA
This 434-nucleotide ribosomal RNA is filed under the name Prevotella sp. oral taxon 313. Its description in RNAcentral is "bacterial SSU rRNA". It matches the Rfam family "Bacterial small subunit ribosomal RNA", at positions 30 to 449 of the family's 1533-position model. The record is from RNAcentral. Lineage: Bacteria; Pseudomonadati; Bacteroidota; Bacteroidia; Bacteroidales; Prevotellaceae.